GAAGAAACUUACCUGGUCUUUACUUUCCACAGAACUUUCCAGAGAUGGAUUGGGGCCUUCGGGAACUGUGAGACAGGUGCUGCAUGGCUGUCGUCAGCUCGUGUUGUGAAAUGUUGGGUUAAGUCCCGCAACGAGCGCAACCCUUAUCCUUUGUUGCCAGCGGUCCGGCCGGGAACUCAAAGGAGACUGCCAGUGAUAAACUGGAGGAAGGUGGGGAUGACGUCAAGUCAUCAUGGCCCUUACGACCAGGGCUACACACGUGCUACAAUGGCAUAUACAAAGAGAAGCGACCUCGCGAGAGCAAGCGGACCUCAUAAAGUAUGUCGUAGUCCGGAUUGGAGUCUGCAACUCGACUCCAUGAAGUCGGAAUCGCUAGUAAUCGUAGAUCAGAA
RNAcentral lists this ribosomal RNA (392 nucleotides) under Klebsiella sp. NG11. RNAcentral's name for it is "bacterial SSU rRNA". It matches the Rfam family "Bacterial small subunit ribosomal RNA", at positions 963 to 1354 of the family's 1533-position model. Lineage: Bacteria; Pseudomonadati; Pseudomonadota; Gammaproteobacteria; Enterobacterales; Enterobacteriaceae. The record is from RNAcentral.